UCCGCCACUGGUAUGUUAUAAAAAGGAGGGUCAUUUUUAUAUAAAACCUCUCAAAAAAGGGGGAGGCAGUGUCGUGUAUUUUUACUUUUAAUCCAUUUACUAGUAUGCAACAAUUACCACUUGUGGAUCAGGAUAAAAUAACAUGUGCUUCCUGUCAUCUAACAAAUUUUAAUUGGAGUGACAGUUUAAUUUGAAAUUAUGGUGUUUUUCUAAGUGGUGCAGAUGAUAAGCCCAACAUCAUUUUGAUGUGAUUUCUCGGGCUUAGUUGUAAGACUG
RNAcentral lists this long non-coding RNA (276 nucleotides) under Mytilus galloprovincialis (Mediterranean mussel). The record is from RNAcentral. Lineage: Eukaryota; Metazoa; Mollusca; Bivalvia; Mytilida; Mytilidae.